AACGAACGCUGGCGGCAGGCUUAACACAUGCAAGUCGAGCGCCCCGCAAGGGGAGCGGCAGACGGGUGAGUAACGCGUGGGAACGUACCUUUUGGUUCGUAACAACUCCGGGAAACUGGAGCUAAUACCGGAUAAGCCCUAACGGGGAAAGAUUUAUCGCCGAAAGAUCGGCCCGCGUCUGAUUAGCUAGUUGGUGAGGUAACGGCUCACCAAGGCGACGAUCAGUAGCUGGUCUGAGAGGAUGAUCAGCCACACUGGGACUGAGACACGGCCCAGACUCCUACGGGAGGCAGCAGUGGGGAAUAUUGGACAAUGGGCGCAAGCCUGAUCCAGCCAUGCCGCGUGAGUGAUGAAGGCCUUAGGGUUGUAAAGCUCUUUUGUCCGGGAAGAUAAUGACUGUACCGGAAGAAUAAGCCCCGGCUAAUUUCGUG
This 431-nucleotide ribosomal RNA is filed under the name uncultured bacterium. RNAcentral's name for it is "partial 16S ribosomal RNA". It matches the Rfam family "Bacterial small subunit ribosomal RNA", at positions 29 to 507 of the family's 1533-position model. The record is from RNAcentral.